This 249-nucleotide unclassified non-coding RNA is filed under the name Hevea brasiliensis (rubber tree). The record is from RNAcentral. Lineage: Eukaryota; Viridiplantae; Streptophyta; Magnoliopsida; Malpighiales; Euphorbiaceae.
GUAGCAAACACGUUCAACAAGGACAUCUCUGAUGCUGUUACUCUCACUUGAGAGAUGGCGGUAAUUGGUUGAAUAUCUCCUGCAUCAUGUCAGUUAAGUGUGCGGCAUAUUAUCAGUUUGUGAUAUCCAAGCCCUUUAGUAAUAUUCCGUGCCAUUGCAGUUCCCAGUUCUAUCCGAUGAGUUUCGUCCACAAGUUCAUGGGAGACGAUCAAUCUCUCCUACAUGCUUGAAUUUUUUUUUUAUGAGCUU